AAUUGUACUCCGCAUAACAGUUACAGGGACAUGGAAAUACUCGGCGUCCAUCCUUCCACCUAUCCGGUCUUGUUAGCACUCUCAUGAGUACAAUAUUAAACUUAUACUAUAUCAGCAAUAUCUUGGAAGAGUUCUUAAAUGGCGAAUGAUCGAUUUUUUUAGAAGAGUUAUUCCCCUUAGAAAUUUUAAAAUUUAUGGAAAAUGGCC
This 207-nucleotide long non-coding RNA is filed under the name Mytilus galloprovincialis (Mediterranean mussel). The record is from RNAcentral. Lineage: Eukaryota; Metazoa; Mollusca; Bivalvia; Mytilida; Mytilidae.